This 507-nucleotide ribosomal RNA is filed under the name uncultured bacterium. Its description in RNAcentral is "bacterial SSU rRNA". It matches the Rfam family "Bacterial small subunit ribosomal RNA", at positions 15 to 518 of the family's 1533-position model. The record is from RNAcentral.
GAUCUUGGUCAGGAUGAACGCUAGCGGCAGGCUUAACACAUGCAAGUCGAGGGGCAACGCGAGUAGCAAUACUUGGCGGCGACCGGCGCAAGGGUGCGUAACGCGUGAGCAACAUGCCCGUAUCGGGGGGAUAAUCCAGGGAAACUUGGUCUAAUACCCCAUAGUAAUUUUGUAAGGCAUCUUAUAAGAUUUAAAGCUUUGGUGGAUACGGAUUGGCUCGCGUGACAUUAGCUGGAUGGUAAGGUAACGGCUUACCAUGGCUAUGAUGUCUAGGGGUUCUGAGAGGAAGGUCCCCACACUGGAACUGAGACACGGUCCAGACUCCUACGGGAGGCAGCAGUGAGGAAUAUUGGACAAUGGAUGGAAAUCUGAUCCAGCCAUGCCGCGUGAAAGGAAGAAGGUCCUAUGGAUUGUAAACUUCUUUUGUAUGGGAGCAAUAAGGCCUACGAGUAGGUUGAUGAGAGUACCAUACGAAUAAGCACCGGCUAACUCCGUGCCAGCCGCCGC